This 76-nucleotide transfer RNA is filed under the name Actinomycetes bacterium. Its description in RNAcentral is "tRNA-Arg". It matches the Rfam family "tRNA". From Rfam's summary of the family: Transfer RNA (tRNA) molecules are approximately 80 nucleotides in length. Their secondary structure includes four short double-helical elements and three loops (D, anti-codon, and T loops). The record is from RNAcentral. RNAcentral also lists the same sequence under 5 other names. Lineage: Bacteria; Bacillati; Actinomycetota; Actinomycetes.
GCCCACGUAGCUCAGUGGAUAGAGCGUCUGCCUCCGGAGCAGAAGGUCGUAGGUCCGAUUCCUACCGUGGGCGCCA